CCUACGGGAGGCAGCAGUGAGGAAUAUUGGUCAAUGGGCUUGCGCCUGAACCAGCCAAGUCGCGUGAAGGAAGACUGCCCUAUGGGUUGUAAACCUCUUUUGUCAGGGAGCAAUUGGCGCUACGUGUGGGGUUAUCGAGAGUACCUGAAGAAAAAGCAUCGGCUAACUCCGUGCCAGCAGCCGCGGUAAUACGGAGGAUGCGAGCGUUAUCCGGAUUUAUUGGGUUUAAAGGGUGCGUAGGCGGAAUGCCAAGUCAGCGGUAAAAUUGCGGGGCUCAACCUCGCUCUGCCGUUGAAACUGGUGUUCUUGAGUGGGCGAGAAGUAUGCGGAAUGCGUGGUGUAGCGGUGAAAUGCAUAGAUAUCACGCAGAACUCCGAUUGCGAAGGCAGCAUACCGGCGCCCAACUGACGCUGAAGCACGAAAGCGUGGGUAUCGAACAGGAUUAGAUACCCUUGUAGUC
Molecule: ribosomal RNA, 460 nt
Filed under: uncultured bacterium
Lineage: Bacteria
Description: partial 16S ribosomal RNA
Rfam family: Bacterial small subunit ribosomal RNA
Source: RNAcentral